CACCCUGACUCUGUUUGACCUGCAUGGAACUGAGCCUUAAUUAGUGUCAUUGUAAACACCUGUGUUUACUCUGCUACUUCACGUCCAAACGCCUGCUGUGUUAUAACAUGACUGUGAAACACAUUUACCUUUCGUUUACACUGCUGCUACACUCAGCUGUAAACAUAUCCAUGUACUGAUGGUCAUCUGCGGCUUGUCAAGUGUUGUGAGUACGAACACCACCGCCUCCUGCCUGUCCAGGUUGUCUUGUCUUCCUGCAUCUAAGUCACGCUGACAUUGACAUUCCUCCCCAGCCACUCUCUAAUAACCUCAGAUGGCCAGUUUCCACUGAAGCGAGGGCCGAUCUAUUGUGCCACAAAAUGUGCUGAAGGGUUUCUGGGUCGAUGAGCGCGCAUAGCUGAGAUGGAGAGAAGGAGGACAACCAGGACAAACUGGGCUCUUUUAACUCCUGAGGGAUAACAAAACAUUUCUUUCCGAGACUCGAAUUUAAAACCUGUAAAAUCAUAUCUAAAAGAAAAAAAAAAACUAAUUAUUUUUAGAUUGAGCAGCCUGAUAAUGACAGUGGCAGAGUGUACGCAUCAGCUCCACAGAGUUACUUACUCAGCAAGUUGCACCUCUGCAAUGAGCGGUUUCCUACUCGUAAAAUACUGAAGCCCUGAAGCAAAACAUGCCGUCAUAGCUACAUAAUCUCCAAUAUUGUUUAAACAAUCUAUCAGGCAGUAGCAGGUUAAGCUGUUUCACAAAUGAUGCAGAUCAUAGCAAUUAUCUCAAUAUGACAACGUCCUUGGGCUGAUCUAUUAGACCUACGGCAGCAAUUUUAUGUUUGUUUGUUUACCAGUUGUAUGCGGGUAUACAACAUGACAUAUAGCCACACAGCAGUCGUUUAUGACGAGUAAUCAAACUUAAAAUUGGCAUUUAUAUUACCUGCGGGGUGCACAUAUUUUGUGUGAGGUAUUCAACGUCAACAUACUGUAUAUCACAUGAAGUGAACCAAUGAAAAAGCCACAGCAGGAUGUAAAUAAUGAAAGCCAGGGUUCAGAUAUAUUAAAUUUGUUUUUGUUAGCAGCCUGCUUAUGUUAUUAAUAGCAGCACAUUAGAGAAUUGAAAUUUGUAUUAUAUAUUUAUUUGUAUAAUAUGUACAUGUUUUAAUGAAUUAUUAUAUUGACUA
This is a long non-coding RNA of Larimichthys crocea (large yellow croaker), 1168 nucleotides long. RefSeq lists it as uncharacterized. The record is from RefSeq and is a predicted model, not a curated record. Lineage: Eukaryota; Metazoa; Chordata; Actinopteri; Sciaenidae. The transcript has 3 exons.